RNAcentral lists this ribosomal RNA (253 nucleotides) under uncultured bacterium. RNAcentral's name for it is "partial 16S ribosomal RNA". It matches the Rfam family "Bacterial small subunit ribosomal RNA", at positions 524 to 776 of the family's 1533-position model. The record is from RNAcentral.
GACGAACCGUGCGAACGUUGUUCGGAAUCACUGGGCUUAAAGGGCGCGUAGGCGGCCGGGUUGGUCGUGGGUGAAAUCCCCCAGCUUAACUGGGGAACUGCCUACGAUACUGCCUGGCUCGAGGGAGGAAGGGGCGGUCGGAACUGUCGGUGGAGCGGUGAAAUGCGUUGAUAUCGACAGGAACGCCGGUGGCGAAAGCGGACCGCUGGCCCUCUUCUGACGCUGAGGCGCGAAAGCCAGGGGAGCGAACGGG